GUCGAGCGAGCUGAAUUCAAAGAUCCUUCGGGUGAUUUGUUGGACGCUAGCGGCGGAUGGGUGAGUAACACGUGGGCAAUCUGCCCUAAAGACUGGGAUACCACUUGGAAACAGGUGCUAAUACCGGAUAACAACAUGAAUCGCAUGAUUCAAGUUUGAAAGGCGGCGCAAGCUGUCACUUUAGGAUGAGCCCGCGGCGCAUUAGCUAGUUGGUGGGGUAAAGGCCUACCAAGGCAAUGAUGCGUAGCCGAGUUGAGAGACUGAUCGGCCACAUUGGGACUGAGACACGGCCCAAACUCCUACGGGAGGCAGCAGUAGGGAAUCUUCCACAAUGGACGCAAGUCUGAUGGAGCAACGCCGCGUGAGUGAAGAAGGUUUCGGAUCGUAAAGCUCUGUUGUUGGUGAAGAAGGAUAGAGGCAGUAACUGGUCUUUAUUUGACGGUAAUCAACCAGAAAGUCACGGCUAACUACGUGCCAGCAGCCGCGGUAAUACGUAGGUGGCAAGCGUUGUCCGGAUUUAUUGGGCGUAAAGCGAGCGCAGGCGGAAUGAUAAGUCUGAUGUGAAAGCCCACGGCUCAACCGUGGAACUGCAUCGGAAACUGUCAUUCUUGAGUGCAGAAGAGGAGAGUGGAACUCCAUGUGUAGCGGUGGAAUGCGUAGAUAUAUGGAAGAACACCAGUGGCGAAGGCGGCUCUCUGGUCUGCAACUGACGCUGAGGCUCGAAAGCAUGGGUAGCGAACAGGAUUAGAUACCCUGGUAGUCCAUGCCGUAAACGAUGAGCGCUAGGUGUUGGGGACUUUCCGGUCCUCAGUGCCGCAGCAAACGCAUUAAGCGCUCCGCCUGGGGAGUACGACCGCAAGGUUGAAACUCAAAGGAAUUGACGGGGGCCCGCACAAGCGGUGGAGCAUGUGGUUUAAUUCGAAGCAACGCGAAGAACCUUACCAGGUCUUGACAUCCUGCGCUACACCUAGAGAUAGGUGGUUCCCUUCGGGGACGCAGAGACAGGUGGUGCAUGGCUGUCGUCAGCUCGUGUCGUGAGAUGUUGGGUUAAGUCCCGCAACGAGCGCAACCCUUGUCUUUAGUUGCCAUCAUUAAGUUGGGCACUCUAGAGAGACUGCCGGUGACAAACCGGAGGAAGGUGGGGAUGACGUCAAGUCAUCAUGCCCCUUAUGACCUGGGCUACACACGUGCUACAAUGGGCAGUACAACGAGAAGCGAACCCGCGAGGGUAAGCGGAUCUCUUAAAGCUGUUCUC
Molecule: ribosomal RNA, 1255 nt
Filed under: Lactobacillus delbrueckii subsp. lactis
Lineage: Bacteria; Bacillati; Bacillota; Bacilli; Lactobacillales; Lactobacillaceae
Description: bacterial SSU rRNA
Rfam family: Bacterial small subunit ribosomal RNA
Source: RNAcentral